GAUGAACGCUGGCGGCGUGCCUAAUACAUGCAAGUCGAGCGAACGGACGAGAAGCUUGCUUCUCUGAUGUUAGCGGCGGACGGGUGAGUAACACGUGGAUAACCUACCUAUAAGACUGGGAUAACUUCGGGAAACCGGAGCUAAUACCGGAUAAUAUUUUGAACCGCAUGGUUCAAAAGUGAAAGACGGUCUUGCUGUCACUUAUAGAUGGAUCCGCGCUGCAUUAGCUAGUUGGUAAGGUAACGGCUUACCAAGGCAACGAUGCAUAGCCGACCUGAGAGGGUGAUCGGCCACACUGGAACGUGGACACGGUCCAGACUCCUACGGGAGGCAGCAGUAGGGAAUCUUCCGCAAUGGGCGAAAGCCUGACGGAGCAACGCCGCGUGAGUGAUGAAGGUCUUCGGAUCGUAAAACUCUGUUAUUAGGGAAGAACAUAUGUGUAAGUAACUGUGCACAGCGUGACGGUACCUAAUCAGAAAGCCACGGCUAACUACGUG
This 497-nucleotide ribosomal RNA is filed under the name uncultured bacterium. Its description in RNAcentral is "partial 16S ribosomal RNA". It matches the Rfam family "Bacterial small subunit ribosomal RNA", at positions 28 to 507 of the family's 1533-position model. The record is from RNAcentral.